AUUGAACGCUAGCGGCAUGCCUUACACAUGCAAGUCGAACGGCAGCGGGGGAGCUUGCUCCCGCCGGCGAGUGGCGAACGGGUGAGUAAUACAUCGGAACGUACCCAGUGGCGGGGGAUAGCCCGGCGAAAGCCGGAUUAAUACCGCAUACGCCCUACGGGGGAAAGGGGGGGAUCGCAAGACCUCUCACUAUUGGAGCGGCCGAUGGCUGAUUAGCUAGUUGGUGGGGUAAAGGCCUACCAAGGCGACGAUCAGUAGCUGGUCUGAGAGGACGACCAGCCACACUGGGACUGAGACACGGCCCAGACUCCUACGGGAGGCAGUAGUGGGGAAUUUUGGACAAUGGGCGAAAGCCUGAUCCAGCAAUGCCGCGUGUGCGAAGAAGGCCUUCGGGUUGUAAAGCACUUUUGUCAGGGAAGAAAUCGUUUGGGUUAAUACCCCGAGCAGUUGACGGUACCUGAAGAAUAAGCACCGGCUAACUACGUGCCAGCAGCCGCGGUAA
Molecule: ribosomal RNA, 502 nt
Filed under: uncultured bacterium
Lineage: Bacteria
Description: partial 16S ribosomal RNA
Rfam family: Bacterial small subunit ribosomal RNA
Source: RNAcentral